Molecule: ribosomal RNA, 468 nt
Filed under: uncultured bacterium
Lineage: Bacteria
Description: partial 16S ribosomal RNA
Rfam family: Bacterial small subunit ribosomal RNA
Source: RNAcentral
GACGAACGCUGGCGGCGUGCCUAACACAUGCAAGUCGAACGGAAAGGUCCGGCUUUUGUGCGGUGCUCGAGUGGCGAACGGGGGAGUAACACGUGAGUAACCUGCCCUUGACUGUGGGAUAACUUCAGGAAACAUGGGCUAAUACCGGAUAGGAGCUCCUGCUGCAUGGUGGGCGUUGGAAAGUUUCGGCGGUUGGGGAUGGACUCGCGGCUUAUCAGCUUGUUGGUGGGGUAGUGGCUUACCAAGGCCUUGAGGGGUAGCCGGCCUGAGAGGGUGACCGGCUACAUUGGGACUGAGCUACGGCCCAGACUCGUAUGGGACGCAGCGGUGGAGAGUAUUACACAAUGGGCGGACGCCUGAUGCAGAAACGCCGCGUGCGGGAUGACGGCCUUCGGGUUGUGAACCGAUUUCGCCUGUGACGAGGCGUGAGUGACGGUACUGGGUAAAGAAGCACCGGCUAACUACGUG